AGCUUUGCGCAGAGGUGAUAACGUGACCAAUGAGGCUCUGUCGAGGUGCGUUUAUUGCUGGUUGAAAACUUUUCUGUAUUGUGUAUUAUAUGUUAGACAGAGCGAAGGAAAGCAAAAGCCGGAAACAGCACGGAUA
This 136-nucleotide small nuclear RNA is filed under the name Oesophagostomum dentatum (nodular worm). RNAcentral's name for it is "U4 spliceosomal RNA". It matches the Rfam family "U4 spliceosomal RNA". Rfam says of the family: U4 small nuclear RNA (U4 snRNA) is a component of the major U2-dependent spliceosome. The structure of U4 snRNA from yeast and human has been reported. U4 snRNA presents a k-turn RNA motif in the 5p-SL related to recognition of Snu13 protein. Lineage: Eukaryota; Metazoa; Nematoda; Chromadorea; Rhabditida; Strongylidae. The record is from RNAcentral.